CGGGAGGCGAGGGCGCGGUGACACGGGCCGGAGGGGCCUGCGCCCGCGGAGGGCGCGCGAGGGGGCGUGUGGCCCCCGAUGGAGCCCUGCCGCGCGGGUGCCCCGGCGCUGGCUGAGGGGCUUGGCGCUUCUCGGCGAGCAGUGCUAGGUUUGUCGUCGCAGCGCUUCGGGGAGCCUAGUCCAGGAGAGAGGACCUGCCUGCGCUGCUCGGCUCAGAACUCGGACCUUACAGGUGGUGUGUACAUCCCGGUGGACGGGUAGACACUUCUGUGUGCUCCUGAAGGCCGGCUGCGUGUAAUAACCAACUGGAGUGCUUUAAGAAGGAUUCUAACGCCAGCCCAAUCCCAGACCAAUUGGACCCACAUCCACAUAGGGCCUGGACAGUGUAUUUUUAACCCCCUCUUCCCCAUAAGUGAUUUUGGUGCAGUGAGAAUUUAUAGAAGUAACCAGCUUGAUGGAAUAGCUACUUGUGAAAUCACAUCUAUUUAGGGACAAAAUAGUAAAAAUAGCUAAAAUAGCUAACACGUAUUCAUCUGUCACUCAGUGGGGUCUCUGUGUCAGAUACUGCGGCUCCCCAAACAUGGAUCUACUCGUAGAAGUACUGUUACCCCUAUUUUAUAGUUGGAGGAGGAGUGGAAGCUCGGAGUUAAUCAGGGAGGACUACUGUGACUAGGACCUAGGGAGGUCGAGUUCAAAACCCCUACUUUCAACAGUCACAUAUGCCUCGUGGAAAAUGUACCUUUGCCUAAGGGCCCCAUGUUUGUGUGAAUAGUAGUAAUGUUUGCCUGAGGGCCAGCUUGUUUAUGUGGGUACAUUUCUACUGUUAAGAUUUUUGUCUGAAAAGCUUUGCUUGUAUAGGGGAGGAAAAUCGUGGUGAUUCUUUAAGGCCUGUAGGCGACCUUUUCCAGAAGUUUAUUGUGGAUCAAGGAGAGAGGGGAUCUCCGUAAUUUGAAGUGAAUAGGUUCUCUGGAAGUUUCUUGUUUUGUUUUUGAGACUUGAGCAUUUCUAUAAUGUGAAGGGGAGAGUCCGGAAGAGGCAGAUAUUUUCCAAGUAUUUACAUGAGCAACCACAAGAGUACUUUAGGUUGCUGGAUGCGAUACAGUUGUGGUGUGGUCACAGCUGGAUGUACCCAGAGGUGCGGUACAGUACAGAGUAGCAGAAGUUCUGCCAUUAGCAUUUUGGAGAAAAAAAAAAACAACUAGUCUGGAGUAGAGAAACUUUGCCGUUACAUCUCUUUUCUCCCCUUAAUUUGUUUGAUUUGUCUCCUGGUCAGAUAAACUGUUGGUGGGACGUUUAGAUGUGGGAGUAGUCCAUUUCAUUAGUAUUUUCUGUACAGAGAUUCCAAAGAAAACUCAUAGUAAACAGAGGUUUCUCCCUGAAAACAAAUGAUACUAGCUACAGUGUAUUUGUGACCAGUAUGUAUUAUUAAGAGGUACCGUGUCACAAAGAACUUUAUAUUCCUGUUGAUUGCUGUCAAAUAUUGUUACCUCUAUGGCAGGCAUGGGUAUAUUAUUUAGCAUACUUUAGGGAUUGGUUUUCAUAUUACUUGCAGUUUUGAUGAGGAAGGCUUAUAGACCUACUCAGGCAAACCUGACUGGAACGUGAGUAUCUGUGGUCUGGUGUGGAAAUAGCUCUCUAGCCCCAUCUCCCUCCUCCCAUUGUCCACCCCCAUCCUCCUUACCACGAAACACAUUUUUCACCAGCAUUGCCAAACCACUUGGGAUUCCUGCGCAUGGCUUUGCUUAGUUUGCUCUUCUGCUUCUUGGAUACCUCCUUCAGGAAAUGUUCCCUGAUUUCUCCUCAGAAACCAUUUAAAAAAUACCCUCCCUGCGUCAUCUCUGCAUUAUAUAUAUGCUUGUCUUAUUGCAUUAUAUCACAGCAUAUCUCAUUGUAUUUGUUACAUAUUGGGCACCUCAAAGGUGAGAAUGGUGACUUGUUUAUCUGCACAUCACUGGCACACAGUAAGCACUUAAGUUUAUUGCAUUGGUCGCAAUUACAUUUACUUCCAUUUAAGUUGCAUUAUCUGUGUCGGUGUUUUCCUGAAUCACUCAUCUUCAUUCUGAACUGUCCUCACCUCCUUCUCUGCUGCUUGCUACCAGGCUAAAAACACAGCUGAAAGCACCCCAAGACAAAACUUACACAGAAAAUACACAAUAAUAGUAACACAUUAUCAAAGAAAUAGGAAGGGGCAAAAUAUCAGUUUUUCACUUGUUUGCGAAUUUCAUCCUUCACUGGCCGAUUGGACGGUGUGAACUUUCUUGGUUACUAAUAUAUGCUGGAGGAGAUGCCCAAGGUUGUUUUUGUUUUUCGAUUUACUUGGGAAGGAAGAACUAGUACUACAUUACCAGUGGACAUGCUUUGAUGUGCCAUAACAGAGCACAGGUGCUUCAUCACAUUUCAUUGCUGUAAUUUUCAGAUUGAGUAUUACAGAGGUAUUUGUAGAGCAGCACUGUCCCAUAGAGCUUUUGGAGAGGAUGGAAAUGAUUUAUAAAUUUGUGUUAUCCAGUGUGGUAGCCACUAGCCACUUGUGGCUAUUGAGCACAUUAAGUGUGACUGACG
This 2559-nucleotide long non-coding RNA is filed under the name Homo sapiens (human). RNAcentral's name for it is "LHRI_LNC1341.1". The record is from RNAcentral. Lineage: Eukaryota; Metazoa; Chordata; Mammalia; Primates; Hominidae.